GCGAAGAAAGUCAAUUUGGACACGUGGCCAAUCUUGUACCGUCAGAUGAAAAAAAUCCUCACGACGACUCUCCGGUUUAUCAUGUGAGUCGAUUAAUAGAACCGACUUACUUGUUUGUCAUGUUCUUAACGUCGCUAUUGAACCAGCUUUAACCCGACGAUAUUUGUAGCAGUUUUCAAUUGAUUUUUUUUUAAUUUAUUUUUCGAUAUUUUAUCAUCGCGUCUGCGUAUAUAAAGGUCAUCGUCUCCCUUCUCUCUCUCUCUCUCUCUCUCUCUCUCCGCGUUACGCGUCUUCCUCGUGCUUCAACAUUUUCCCGAGAAAGUUUCAUCUCGAGAAAAUUUGGAAUGGGGGUGAAAGUAGCACCAUACACUUCUCCCUUCCUCCAAUGGGCGUCUUCUUCUCAAACCCUAGCUUCCGGCGCCAUAUCAUCACGACGACAGAGACUGAACCGUCCGUCUCUCUUCGGAACGCCACUACUCUAUGGCUCCAAGUCCUGUGAACUAUCCAAACCAACCAAAACGCAGUCGUUUCGAAGAGUUUCUAGCGCAAGCUUCUCCGACGAGGAGUUUUCGAAAAAGAUCCAAGAGCUAACUCUCAGAUUCAACCACGAGAGAGAUGCCAACGAGAUGGUGCACUUGUCGAGUAUCGAAAUGAAAGCAAACAGCGUCCAUCUCCCUCUCUCCCUUCGUAUCAUAAAGAAGAAGCCACAAUGGGACGAAGGAGUCAAACAAGCCGCGUGCGACUCCAUGAGCAAAGCCUUCUCGUCGAUGGUGUCCAUGAUUCAAGAGCUUCAGAGCUUCACGUUACACAUGAGAGAGACUCUCUUCUACCAAGACUUGCAAGGGAUCUUGGUGCGCGUUAGAGAAGAGAUGCACGCAUCGUUCGUCUGGUUGUUCCGACAAGUUUUCUCCGCCACGCCUACGUUGAUGGUGUACGUCAUGUUACUCCUCGCCAACUUCACGGUUUAUUCACUCGGUGCCAACUCUGCUUUAGCAGCCGCCGCGACGCCGACCAGCACCGUGGCAGAGGUAGCAACCGUCAGUGAAACAAACGACAAGAUCGAUUCCUCGGUGGUUAAAUCGUUUUUUAUUCCAUCUCCCACGGUCGACGGUAGCAACAACGGCGGCGGUGGAAACAUCAGGCCGGUGUUAAGCGGGACAGAUGGUGAUGGAUUCGAUGUACCAGAAGGACCUUCGCGGUUGUCAUCUUCGACAUUUGGGUCAACGAUUAGUACAGAGACAUCAGUGUCGGGACAAGAUGAAGUUAGGCUGUGGAACUCGAUUGUGGAGGAAGCAGAGGAAAUGCAGUACAAUGUGUUGGAUCACGAGACGAGGAAGUGGUUCGUGUCUCCUUUGGAUGCUCGAGUGGAAGCAGAGAAGGACAUUGAUUUCUUCAGAACAGAGCUUCUCUACCAAACAGGACUGUCUCAAGAGCCUGAUAAUCCUCUGCUUCUUGUUAACUACGCUCAGUUCCUCUACAUCGUCUCCUAUGAUUAUGACAGGUAAAUAAACAUUUUUUACUUUCACUUUUUGUUCAUCUCAGUUUUUUUUAGCUUCUCAGUAAACUCGAAGUUAGGAUCGAAUCUUCCUUUAAGAUUCUUUUGUGAGCCUGCAAGUUGAUGAUAUUUCCUUUCACUAGUGGGGCCAUUUUUGUGGAAAUUGAAUUUAUUAUUUUAAAGCUUUAAAUUGUCAUAAUAAUUGAUAUAUAACCGACCAAUAGAGCUGAACCAUUUAUUUUCCUCUUCGAGUAAAGAAGACAGAACAUAAAAAUAUCUAUUGGCAUAAAUAAAGGAAUAAGUUUAGUUCUAGGCUUCUAGCCAACGAGCUUUGAGGAUCGAUGGUGGAGUUUAUGGUGGAGUUUUGAAGACUCCCAACCAAAUUCCAACAAGAAAAAGGUUGAUCUGUCCAAAAGUCUCUACCUCAGAAUCUGUCCUCUAGAUCUAUUUCCCACCCACUCGAAUUAACCCAUGUUUUUGUCAUUUUGGCUUUAAUUCAUACCUAAAUUAUUACUCUUUCCGUUUCACAAAAAAUAAAAAAUAUUUUUUACACAAAUUUAAAAAUAACUAAUAGAUUUAUUUUUUUGUUAAUUAUCCAUAGUUAACUCACAGUAUUUAAAACAUAUAUAUUUAUUUACAAAUUAAUAUAUUUUGGAAUAAAUAUUAAACUUAAAUUAAGUAUAAAUUAUAUUAAAAUUUUAAAAUGACAUUUUUGUAUAACAACAAAGUGUCAAAAUUACACCUUUUGCAAAACAGAGAUAGUAUUUGUAGUUUAGGUAAUUGGUCUAGUAUUUUAUUAGACUAUCUCCAAAUAUUCUUUUAUUUGAAGAAAAUAUCAAAA
RNA transcript from Brassica rapa (field mustard), 2336 nucleotides. RefSeq lists it as uncharacterized. NCBI's taxonomy places the organism in Eukaryota, Viridiplantae, Streptophyta, Magnoliopsida, Brassicales, Brassicaceae. The record is from RefSeq and is a predicted model, not a curated record.